This 353-nucleotide unclassified non-coding RNA is filed under the name soil metagenome. RNAcentral describes it as "partial contains 5.8S ribosomal RNA, internal transcribed spacer 2, and large subunit ribosomal RNA". The stretch from base 1 to 120 matches the Rfam family "5.8S ribosomal RNA", at positions 35 to 154 of the family's 154-position model. The record is from RNAcentral.
GAUGAAGAACGUAGCGAAAUGCGAUAAGUAAUGUGAAUUGCAGAAUUCAGUGAAUCAUCGAAUCUUUGAACGCACAUUGCGCCCGCCAGUAUUCUGGCGGGCAUGCCUGUUCGAGCGUCAUUACAACCCUCAGGCCCCCGGGCCUGGCGUUGGGGAUCGGCGGAAGCCCCCUGCGGGCACAACGCCGUCCCCCAAAUACAGUGGCGGUCCCGCCGCAGCUUCCAUUGCGUAGUAGCUAACACCUCGCAACUGGAGAGCGGCGCGGCCACGCCGUAAAACUCCCAACUUCUGAAUGUUGACCUCGAAUCAGGUAGGAAUACCCGCUGAACUUAAGCAUAUCAAUAAGCGGAGGA